UGGUCCCCGUUCCUUCUUGUUUCUCGUUUUUAAAGUAACCACAUAUGUUCUCUCUGGUCUCUGAUUGAUCGUGUUCACAGGGAACUUAUUAAUGAGGAAAUCCACAGGUCGGCGUUGAUUCAGCUUCAUUGUUUUAAUUCAAGUUGAUGUAUGAAACAUUAAUAAUCAUUAACACAAUAUAAUGAUGAGAUUCUAUAAUGUUGCAUCCUGCCAUCAUUCAACAGGCUGAAUCAUAGCUUACCUGUCUGUAUAGAUCCACGUAGAUCUCAGUGAUAAACUUCCAGGUCAUUCAUUCUUGAUCGGUGCUUUCUUUCCAUAUGAGAGAGUGUUCAGCGGUAACACGUUGCCGGGAAAAGCGUGGGAGGCUAUGAGUUCCUGGUUGCUGGGAAACUAUGAGCCACAUGAAGUGGGGAAUGACAUGUUUGAUCAGACCAGAUCCACGGAGGCCCCACCCCACAACCCACAGGACCCAAAGAAUCCACUACCAAUCUCCCGGUCCCAGACACCAUCUGACACCCCAAGAGAUGCAGAAAUGAAUGGAGUGAUGUGAUGUCAUUACCCCUGCUACACCUUUUCCUGGGGCAUACAAUGGUUGGUCCGCGGUCCUUCAGCUGUCCCCACAUAAAGCCCCUCCUCAUGGCAUGUGCGUCGCCGUCUCUGCGCCAGGCGUUUUCAUGGUCUGCUUCUCUUUCUUUUCCCUCGGAGGUUCACACGAGAGACUGUCCUGUGCAUGUUUGAGACUGGUUUUGCGGAGUGUAUGCCCAAACUUCCACGAUGUUGAGACGUGUUGUAUUUUCUUGUAUUUUAAUCUUAAUAGAUGUUUACAACAAAUGCUUACACCA
This is a long non-coding RNA of Lates calcarifer (barramundi perch), 842 nucleotides long. RefSeq lists it as uncharacterized. The transcript has 2 exons. The record is from RefSeq and is a predicted model, not a curated record. Lineage: Eukaryota; Metazoa; Chordata; Actinopteri; Centropomidae.